Molecule: long non-coding RNA, 527 nt
Filed under: Bos taurus (domestic cattle)
Lineage: Eukaryota; Metazoa; Chordata; Mammalia; Artiodactyla; Bovidae
Description: long non-coding RNA NONBTAT010713
Source: RNAcentral
AUCUGAAGGCAAACUUUUAUUUUCCACUCUAUUUCAAUAAUCACCAUGUUUCUAGAAUCUCUACCCUAUUUUGAUAAUCACUUUUUGUUUUUGUUGUUGUUCAAACCCCUUCUUAAUCCUCACCCGAAUUCCAGUCUAAACACGUUUUACUGCCUUGUAACCUCCUAAAAAUCUUUUAAAAAGUGACUCAUUUGGUUAAUGAGAACUAGACACUACAAAUUAAUUUUGUGCUGUAUAUCUGCUUCUACUUACAUGAGUAGAUGGAAACUCUUUGGGGAAAGGUCUUUGACAUUUUUCUUUAAACUAAUUAGAACACUACAUGCAUAAAUAGCUAACAGAGGAGAAAAAAAGCUAUGUCAGUCUUUAGCUGGUUCCUUUAAAAUUGUCCUAGAAUAUAAAAAUCAAUCUGCUACCUGAGAUUACAUGAGUAGAUCUAAAAUCUCACAGAAUGAGGAAGAUUAAAUAACCCCAAUUCUUAAACAGAAGCAGCAAUAUAGUUUUUAAAAUGAAAGAACUGAGGCUAAUUC